This is a non-coding RNA of Hydra vulgaris (swiftwater hydra), 1321 nucleotides long. NCBI's taxonomy places the organism in Eukaryota, Metazoa, Cnidaria, Hydrozoa, Anthoathecata, Hydridae. The record is from RefSeq and is a predicted model, not a curated record.
UAGCAAUGUCACUUAAAACAAAGUCAGUUUAACAUAUGAAAUGCUGUAAAUCAGUUCAAUAUUUUAUCUUUUAAUAUACUACAUUAAUAUGUUUCAAAAACUAUUAGUUUUAUUACUUUUAAUUUAUGCAAACGGAAAAUCUGCAAAAUCUAUUAACGGAUAUGAAGAUAUUGAUCAAAACGAUGAACUAGCUGCAAUAAAAAGUGACCUAAAUGAUUUUUCUGAUCUAACAGUGAAAUUAGAACGGCCUCCAACUGCACCUAAUUUGAAUCAAAAUAUUGAGAAUACCAAUGAUAAAAAAGUUUUAUUGGGAGAUAUUCUUUUACAAACUAACCCUUACAAAAAAACCCAGCGAACUUCCAGCGAAAGUUCGCUGGAAAUUAAAAGAUCACUGGAAAUUUACUAAGAUCACUGGGUUUUCGCUGGAUUUCCAUGGAAACAUAAGACUUCGCUGGAAGUUUGCUGAAAAUCCAACGAAAAACUUCCAAUGAUCUUAAAGUUCGCUGGAAGUUUACUGGGUUUCUUGCGAAAUAUUUCGCGGUGAUGUAAAAAGCGUUGCUGUUACAACUUCUGCAAGCAGUUAAAACUUGGAAAAUUGAUAAUAUAGCUUCUUAAAAUAAUAUUUCAAAUUUUUGUAUAAAAGUAAUCCUUUUUAUUUUAUUUUUUGCAUCUAAUAGAUGAUCUAUAGUGUGAGUUUCAAUUAUUAUUAGUUCUACUCAAGUUACAAAACAAAAUCAUCUGGUAGUUUAAUGAUUAUAAUGGUUGCCAUUGGUGUUCUUCUCAAGGGAAGACACUGUACUGUUGUAAAUAAUCUUUUAUCUGCAAUCAGUGUGCCAAGCAAUAUAAGACAGACUCGAUGAUCAUUAAGUUGUAUAAAGCAUUGGAAAGGAUAAAAGUGAUAAAAUGCUAUUGGUUGGAAAUUGAUAAAUUAAUAAAAAAUGAUUGAUUCUAAUUGCGCGAAAAUAUGUUGCUCUAAAGACCCAAACCGAAAAGAAUGCCUAAAGUGGUUUUCAAAAGAUGAAUUGACGAAUUUCAUAAUUCUUUUUGUUUCGUUGUGAUAAUUUGUCGUAUGAGAAAGCUAACGAGAAAAAACUUUUUAAAUAUAGAAACAUGCGUAAUAUAAAGUUUACUUAUGCCUAUAAAAAAAUAUGUUUUACGUUAAUUAAUAAAUUAACUUUUUAGUUUCUUGUUAAAAAUUGUAUUCUGUAUUGAAGUUUAUUUCUGAGAAUUUGUAAUUAUACCUAAGAUAAUCUAAUCCUACAUUGUAUUUUAAUUUAUAAAACUCGAUAUUUUAAAAUAAAUAUAUUACUUUUUUAUCGCG